GCUUGAGGCAGUGAGAAAACUACCAAAAAACUUUCACUUGAAACAAAGCGAGAGAUAUGGUAAAGGACUUGAGUGCAGGAGAGGGGAGCAGAAUUCCCAGUGUAGCGGUGAAAUGCGUAGAUAUUGGGAGGAAUACCAGUGGCGAAGGCGGCUCUCUGGACUGUAACUGACACUGAGGCGCGAAAGCGUGGGGAGCGAACAGGAUUAGAUACCCUGGUAGUCCACGCCGUAAACGAUGAGUGCUAGGUGUUGCGGGUAUCGAUCCCUGCAGUGCCGCAGUAAACACAAUAAGCACUC
RNAcentral lists this non-coding RNA (297 nucleotides) under Desulforamulus reducens MI-1. RNAcentral's name for it is "Desulfotomaculum reducens MI-1 Bacterial small subunit ribosomal RNA". It matches the Rfam family "Bacterial small subunit ribosomal RNA", at positions 569 to 869 of the family's 1533-position model. Lineage: Bacteria; Bacillati; Bacillota; Clostridia; Eubacteriales; Peptococcaceae. The record is from Rfam by way of RNAcentral.